CAAUAGCGUAUAUUUAAGUUGCUGCAGUUAAAAAGCUCGUAGUUGGAUUUCGGGUGGGAAUGGCCGGUCCGCCGUUUCGGUGUGCACUUGCUACGCCCACCUUGCUGCCGGGGACGUGCUCUUGAGUGCACGCUCGGGACACGGAGUCGGCGAGGUUACUUUGAGUAAAUUAGAGUGUUCAAAGCAGGCCUACGCUCUGAAUACAUUAGCAUGGAAUAACACGAUAGGACUCUGGCCUAUCUUGUUGGUCUGUAGGACCGGAGUAAUGAUUAAGAGGGACAGUCGGGGGCAUUCGUAUUUCAUUGUCAGAGGUGAAAUUCUUGGAUUUAUGAAAGACGAACUACUGCGAAAGCAUUUGCCAAGGAUGUUUUCAUUAA
Molecule: ribosomal RNA, 377 nt
Filed under: uncultured eukaryote
Lineage: Eukaryota
Description: partial 18S ribosomal RNA
Rfam family: Eukaryotic small subunit ribosomal RNA
Source: RNAcentral